Long non-coding RNA from Pteronotus mesoamericanus, 435 nucleotides. RefSeq lists it as uncharacterized. The record is from RefSeq and is a predicted model, not a curated record. The transcript has 3 exons. Lineage: Eukaryota; Metazoa; Chordata; Mammalia; Chiroptera; Mormoopidae.
UUAACAUGUUAUGGAGACAGUGUUUUCUUAACGAAAAGAAAAUUCUCCCAGAACCCUGCGGCCCAGCUCUGUGCCUGGUCUGGAGGGGAAGACAAGAUUAUCAGAGACCAAAAGGCUGCUGAGCCUGUGCCUCCUUCCUGGGUCUGGAUCCGAGAAGAUGGCAGCCUGGGAGGAGCCAUGCUCGGGAACCAUUACGUGGCAGGAAGAGCUCAAACAGAAGAUCUUUGGCCGGGAGUAGCCAUUCUGGAAGCUAAGAUGGAGACUCCUGGGAACUCAGAGAUUCCAGAGCCUCUGCCUGCCAUCCACCCUGCAGGCUCACUGAGAGCUCAAGCCUCAUCCACUCAGUCCCUGCUGCUCUGCGUUCUGCGGCUGGGUGUAGUUGUCCUGGCCUAUUGGCUUUUCAUGGUUCCAGAUGCCACCUCCCACCCCGCCCAC